AGGAGCUCGCACUCCAACCAAUUAAGAAAAGAUUUGGCUACAAUGACACAUUGGCUGGAAGACACACCCACAAACCCAUGGACCACCGGACUGAAUUAACUCAUGCGAUUAUGGAGGCUGAGAAAUCCCACACUCUGCUUCUGCAAACUGGAGACCCUGGAAGGCUGGCGGUGUAACUCUGAGAACUGGGAAUCUGAUGGUGCAAGUCCCAGGAGAGGGCAGAAGACUGAUGUCUCCACUCAACCAAUCAGGCAGACAGAGCAAACUCUCCCUCCUCUGCUUCUGUUGUUCUAUUCAGGCCCUCAAUGGAUUGGAUGACAGGACUGGAUGAGGACCCCCACACUGGGGAGGGCCAUCUGCUUUACUCAGCCACUGAUUCAAAUGCCGGUCUCAUUCAGAAUCACUCUCACAGACACAACCAGAAAUAAUGUUUUACGUAGGCACUCCAUGCCCCAAUCAAGUCAACACAUAAAAAUAACCAUCACGAGUCUACCCCUUGUCAACUUGACACUCAUCCUCAUCUCCUGAAACCAUACUUAAUCUCCAAAUAAUGACAAUAACAAGAUAAUAAUUCUGCCUAAUAUGAUACAUCUAUCCUGUGUGCCACCGAAAAUGCACAAACUCUUUCCCAGAAAAGGAUAGGAAUGAGUGAUGUUUAGUCUUCUCUUUGAUAUUCUUCUGAAACUUAAAGACUGUGAUGUUGCGGAGACAAAAGUGAGUCCAUCUUGAAUGCUGAUCUGCCAUACUGACUUCUUACUAACCCCAGUCUCAUGAAUGCCUCUGAUUCCUACUUUAUUUACUGUCCUUGGUGUAAGAACAUGUACACACUAUAAAUCCUGCCUUUAGGUCAAGGCAACCUUGAUAUUACCACACAAAUCACAGGCUAUGACGCACACAGCAUUCUUGCCUGUUCUGGAGGGCUGCUGUGUUAGGCCGUCCCUGCAUUACUAUAAAAAAUACCUGAGGCUAGGUAAUUCGUAAAGAAAAGAGGUUUGGGCUGGGCGCGGUGGCUCACGCCUGUAAUCCCAGCACUUUGGGAGGCCAAGGCGGGUGGAUCCCCUGAGGUGAGGAGUUUGAGACCAGCCUGGCCAACAUGGUGAAACC
RNAcentral lists this long non-coding RNA (1104 nucleotides) under Homo sapiens (human). RNAcentral describes it as "novel transcript". The record is from RNAcentral. Lineage: Eukaryota; Metazoa; Chordata; Mammalia; Primates; Hominidae.